RNAcentral lists this ribosomal RNA (599 nucleotides) under Citrobacter amalonaticus. Its description in RNAcentral is "bacterial SSU rRNA". It matches the Rfam family "Bacterial small subunit ribosomal RNA", at positions 54 to 644 of the family's 1533-position model. Lineage: Bacteria; Pseudomonadati; Pseudomonadota; Gammaproteobacteria; Enterobacterales; Enterobacteriaceae. The record is from RNAcentral.
CAUGCAGUCGACGGUAACAGGAAGCAGCUUGCUGCUUUGCUGACGAGUGGCGGACGGGUGAGUAAUGUCUGGGAAACUGCCCGAUGGAGGGGGAUAACUACUGGAAACGGUAGCUAAUACCGCAUAAUGUCGCAAGACCAAAGAGGGGGACCUUCGGGCCUCUUGCCAUCGGAUGUGCCCAGAUGGGAUUAGCUUGUUGGUGAGGUAACGGCUCACCAAGGCGACGAUCCCUAGCUGGUCUGAGAGGAUGACCAGCCACACUGGAACUGAGACACGGUCCAGACUCCUACGGGAGGCAGCAGUGGGGAAUAUUGCACAAUGGGCGCAAGCCUGAUGCAGCCAUGCCGCGUGUAUGAAGAAGGCCUUCGGGUUGUAAAGUACUUUCAGCGGGGAGGAAGGGGUUAAGGUUAAUAACCUUAGCCAUUGACGUUACCCGCAGAAGAAGCACCGGCUAACUCCGUGCCAGCAGCCGCGGUAAUACGGAGGGUGCAAGCGUUAAUCGGAAUUACUGGGCGUAAAGCGCACGCAGGCGGUCUGUCAAGUCGGAUGUGAAAUCCCCGGGCUCACCCUGGAAACUGCAUUCAAAACUGGCAGGUUUG